UGUCCUGUGGAUUCUGUGGAUCCUGUGGGUUGCAGGGUGGGUCCUACCUAGACCAGGCUGAUCCUGGACCAUCCCACAGAUGCUCAAUGAGAUCUGGAUGUGGGGAGUGUGGAACCCAGAUGUUCAUAGGGAGAUGAUGCCACAUCUGGUCCAGCUGAUGGAAGGUCUUGAAGUUCUCUGACUGGCCUCGACUGAAGAUGGUCGUCUCACUGGAUUUAAGGUUCAGAUGCUCAGUAACAAACUCCACCAAUGAGCCAACAGGGAGGCUUUAGGUUUAUUAAAUGUUGCUAUGAAGGUAUCGCUGUUUUUCUUUGUGAAUGCAAUGUGCUGCAACUGAAACUUGAAUUAGAACUUAGAAGUAAAUCCUUCCAUCUGAAAGGAUUUAGUUGCAUUAAUAACCUCAUAACAUUCUAAUUUUUAUUCCAGUCUUGGUUGGAAAUAGAAUCUCUGUAUUGAUUCAGGUAAAAACUGAACUUCACAGCAUGUUGGAGCAAAACAACCAGAUGAAAACUGUGAUGAUGUUGGAUUGUCAGACCGUAAUGUUGCAGCUCAAAGCAGCUUUUCUAUCUCAGUUCAUUCUGACAUUCAGCUAUGAAUCAACACAGCAGAUGGUGAUCCAUGCUGUGGAAGCCUCACAUCUCCUGAUUUAAUGGAGCUGCUUUGCACUUUUUACACUGUUUAUUCACCAACACUUUAUUUAAUAAAAGUCCCAUCUAGUUUUUAUGAGGAAUGUGAUGUUUUGAUUUCUCUGUGAAUAACUGCAGUCUAAUGCAACAGCUGGAAUUGUAACAUCUGUCCUGAUAUUGAUCAUGAAGUAUUGAUCAGAAUACUUAUGGUCAGAAGUCAUCCCUGAAGUUUUACAUUAAAAUCUUUACUUGUGUUGUGAACUUUGGUAAGAAGCAGAAACUUUAGCGUUGCCAUGGAUACAUGAGUGUUAAAUUCUGUCCAUGUUUCCAUUGUGGGAAAUUCAUUCCAGCAGUCUGAGAUAUUACGAAUAAAUAAAUGUGCAUAAUGUGGAAAUGAAGAGAUUUUAUUUUUAUUUAUUCCUACAGCUGCUCCAGGGAAUGUUCUAGAAUUUGGAGGAAUUUAGUCUCACAAUCACAGACAAUAAAUAUUAUCUGAAAGUCGGGUUAUUGUUGUUUAUCAGCACAAUACAAAAAGAUUAAUGUUAGAAAUAUUCCAGUUAAGACUCUAGAAUAUCAUGAUUUAUGUAAAUUUACCUCAAUAAUAUGAAUGUUCAGGUUAAGAUUGUGCAGUGAUAUUAUGUAAGUUUAGCUGAUUAAAGUUUAUGACUCUGCACUAAAAUAUUAUUUAAAUUUACAUCAUUAUAAUAUUUAGGGUCAGACCCUACAGUAUUGAGAUUAAGAAAUCAAAUAUUCUAUAAAUUGUAAAUGCACUGAACUCAUUUGGAUAUAUUUAAGUGAGACUCUACAAUAUUAUUUGACACAAAUCUAUCUAAAUCAAAAUUUUAGUCAUUUUUACUC
Amphiprion ocellaris (clown anemonefish) is the source of this 1484-nucleotide long non-coding RNA. The record is from Ensembl. NCBI's taxonomy places the organism in Eukaryota, Metazoa, Chordata, Actinopteri, Pomacentridae.